This 1112-nucleotide long non-coding RNA is filed under the name Citrus x clementina. RNAcentral's name for it is "Citrus clementina (C. clementina) long non-coding RNA (CCLE_LNC006434)". Lineage: Eukaryota; Viridiplantae; Streptophyta; Magnoliopsida; Sapindales; Rutaceae. The record is from RNAcentral.
ACACAAGAAAAAUUUAAAACCGUAGAAUUUAAGAAAUUUAAAACUUAAAACGUAUAAAUUGUGUAGUUUAUGAGUUUUUUCAGACUUCUCACAUUUUAAAAUUAAUUAAUUAAUUGGUCGCGAACAUAGAAUGUUUAAUUUGUUGUAUUUGUAUUGAGAUUACAUAGUUUUUUAUAGGGAGUUUGCUACUUUAAUUAGCUCUCCAAUGUUUUCUGUUUUUACAACUUUCUCUUUACGGUUUCCAUAUGUAAUUAAUUAAUCAAUUACCUCACUUCAUUAAUAUCAAAACCUUAAUAAUAAUAAUAACUAAAAAAAAAGGUUAUAUGGUAGAUGAAUUAUUUUCUUUAAUCAUUUUCUCAAUCAAUCGUCUCUUGCAUGUGUGGAUUCUAUAUCCACACAAAGACAGAUGUCAUAUAUCCGGGAAGCAAACGCCACUGGUGUCCUGUUCUCAUUCUUUAAUUUGUAGAAAAAUGGGAUGAAAAAGAAUUGGCAUUUGGAUCGCCUUCCAUUUACAGACCCAAUUCAAUCUCAGUACUGUCUUUAAAGAAGAAUACAUAUAUAAACUCAAAUAAAUUAAUUUUACAUCACAUAUUAGGAUCAGGGUGCAACAGUGGCACGGUGCCACUGUUGCACCUAAGGGGAAUCCCACAUAUUAAUAAGAAAAAAAAAAAAAGAGAGGGGAAAUUAACUAAAAAAUUGGAGGAUAUUUACAAAUUACGAGGCAAGUAAAAACAUGGAACAUGCCACGAGGAAAGCCACGGCAAGGAGGAGGCAGCGAUCUCAGCUGAGCUAAUGAACGGCCUUAAUCAAAAAGAAACUCGAAGUCGUGGCUUGUUUCUGGGCUUUCAUGUUUGUAAUGCAAUGUGGGCCCUCGCCAAUCUUAAAAAUAUUAUUAUAUUGAAAUUGUGGGCCGACUUUCAUCCGCAAGCCUCAUCCAUCAUCACGAAGCACUCCAUGUGCCCCCAUCGACCCGAUCUUGGGGCGGAUAUGCAGGCUGUCGUGUCCUUCCCCUUUUCCGAUUUUGUUUUUUCUCCUCAUAAUUUAUUUACUUUUUCAUCAAACGGUUCUCAUUUGGUUACGCGUCCUCCUCUUUUCUUCUUCUUCUUCUUUUU